AAUCAUCAACUGCACAGGAUAUAAAAGCUCAACAAGCUUAAGUAACAAGUCAGUCAAGAACUGGAGGACAGAUUUCUUCAUAUGCAUGAUGAUCACAUCUUACUCAAGCAGCAUACAAAUGAGCAAGAGGAGAAAACUAAAAGCCUUCCUCGCCAUAACCCUUUUAACUAGAAGUUUGGAAUGAAUUUGCAGUGGAAGAACGUUGAAAAAGCUCCACGUAAACAAAAAACCUGCUUACAGUGUUUUCCAAAAAUAUCUUUAAAGCCAUCUCAGACUGCAUUUGUGGAAACAGGCAGAGGGCAAGUGACCUUGAGAAGUUUGGUGGUGAUAUCUAUUUUUCUUGCUUGGACUUCCAGUUUUGAAUAUGAAUGGAGCCUAAAGAACGUAAAGAACAACCAUGAUGCUUCAUUAGCAAAAGACGAUGAACUGAAUGAACAGCUUGAAGAGGAAAGAAUAAACAGUCCAGAAAAGGAGAAUGAACUCUUGAAGAAAAGCUAUGAUAAACUGUGUAAGUGCUCAGUGAUACCCCAGAUGAGCAGGAACUUGAAUGUGAAGAUACUGAUUUUGCCGAAUCUGUUUGAAAAAAGAAGCAAAGAAAUGCCACUGAACAAGACAUUGAUGGUGAGUUUUAGAGACCACUUUCUUGUAAACUUUUAUAGCUUAAAAACUAUUUGUCAAAUUUCUCUUUUUUUCUACAAGAUUUACUGUGAAAGUAGUUGUUUGACAUUGUGUCAAAAAGAAAUUCUUUAA
RNAcentral lists this long non-coding RNA (750 nucleotides) under Ficedula albicollis (Collared flycatcher). Its description in RNAcentral is "lncRNA (ENSFALG00000023567.1)". Lineage: Eukaryota; Metazoa; Chordata; Aves; Passeriformes; Muscicapidae. The record is from RNAcentral.